Parus major (Great Tit) is the source of this 457-nucleotide long non-coding RNA. RefSeq lists it as uncharacterized. The record is from RefSeq and is a predicted model, not a curated record. NCBI's taxonomy places the organism in Eukaryota, Metazoa, Chordata, Aves, Passeriformes, Paridae. The transcript has 3 exons.
AAGUGACCCCAUGACAGUAAGUCAGGGUAAUAUGUGCUUAGUUGCUUUAUUUUGUCUUUGAGAGCACCACCUGUAUCUCAAAAACAAAAUCAAGAGCUUCACUGGCAUCCAGUCAUGAGUGUCAGCAGUGGGCAUUGCUGUGAUUUGUCUUCUCAUACAUCAGGAACUGUAUUUUUUGUCAAUGCAGCAAGCUACCUCUCCACAAAUUAACCCAGCACUCUUCGUGUAGGAACAAGCUGCAUUCAGCUGCCUAAAUUAGGUCUCAGGAUACCAGGAAAAUGUUGUCAUCUGGAUCUCAGGUUUCAGAUGAUUGUUUCACAAGGGAAAACCUACGAGGAAAAUAGCACUGUCCUCUAAGGAGAGAUUCCAGACCAAAAGGAUCUGCAACACUGGUUUGAGACAAAAUGUUAAUUAUGCUUUUAUUUUUUUGAAAGAAAGGAUGAGAAAGGACAGACCU